RNAcentral lists this ribosomal RNA (478 nucleotides) under uncultured bacterium. Its description in RNAcentral is "partial 16S ribosomal RNA". It matches the Rfam family "Bacterial small subunit ribosomal RNA", at positions 28 to 507 of the family's 1533-position model. The record is from RNAcentral.
GAUGAACGCUAGCGGGAGGCCUAACACAUGCAAGCCGAGCGGUAUUUGUUCUUCGGUACAGAGAGAGCGGCGCACGGGUGCGGAACACGUGUGCAACCUGCCUUUAUCUGGGGGAUAGCCUUUCGAAAGGAAGAUUAAUACCCCAUAAUAUAUUGAUUGUCAUCCCUUGAUAUUGAAAACUCCGGUGGAUAGAGAUGGGCACGCGCAAGUUUAAAUAGCUGGUGAGGUAAGUGCUCACCAAGACAAUGAUCUUUAGGGGGCCUGGGUGGGUGAACCCCCAAACUGGAACGGGGACACGGACCAGACGCCAAGGGGCGGCAGCAGUGGGGAAGCAGGGACAAUGAGUUGGGCCCUGUUCCAGCCAGCCGGCGGGAAGGACGACGGCCCUGUGGGUUGUAAAUUUCUUUUGUAAAGGGAUAACCUACUCUCGUGAGAGUAGCUGAAGGUACUAUACGAAUAAGCACCGGCUAACUACGUG